UUGUAGGUCCAUCGUGGCAUUAUUAAUGAAGUUUAAGAAAUACACACAACAAGCAGGCAGGAUUAAAACCGGAUAUAUAAAGAGUAAACAAUCCACAGAAACUGGGAGUUGUUAUCAAGUUUAUUUAUAUAGUAUUAAUAGCCUAUAUGGAGUUGAUUAGUCAACAGCAGGGAUAUAAAAACACAGCAGAUCGAGUUGAAUGAACUAACUGGAGCUAACUGAGUUAAUGUGGUUAAGAUGCUUGGAUGACAGACUCAGUGGGGCGAUUAAAGGAAAAUAAAGUAGGAUUCUUACAAAUGAGGAUUGCUAGAGAAAAUGUAAGUGCUUAAGUUUAAACAGCAUUUUGUUUUGGAUGAAGAAAUAUGCUCACAAAAGUUUGAUUAAGAAAGACCCGUUUUAAAAUGUAAAAGAGUUUGAUUCGCAGUUCUCCUCCUGACCAGAAGUUGGCGGCAGUGAGCGCAACGCGGCUUUCAAGCGGCAAAAGAGGACGAGGAAUAACGAGAAGUCGGAAGUAAAGAGUGAUGCUCUUCAAACUCCACGUUGACGUCGAUGGAGAGCACGGCACUGAGGUCUCUCUUUGUGAAAUGUCGACCUGGUUUUCUGUCAAUGAAAACACGAGACUGCACCUGAGCGCAGGUAAUACUGGAGAGAGACUCAGACUGAAUGUGAUUGGUUGUCAGCAGGUUUUUAACAUGGACGAUGAAAGUAUGUGGAGCACGUGUUGGUGCACCUGGGUGUCUGUGGGAAUAAUCAGUGAAUGAACUGACUUUAACUGCUUCAAUAUUUCAAAAUAUUAUCAUAUUUUGCGAUGUGUGUAGACAGGGUGUUUAUGUCUGGCCUUAAUGUAUAAAAGCUUGUGCAUGCAUGGACCUUCAUAAACUUAUAUAGGCUUAAACUAUAUAUAUUUUAUAUAUACUGUCAAUGCUUAAAACCUGUAUUCAGUGUAUAAAAUGUAUGGAUUCAUGCUGAGUGAUGUUUGUGAUGAUUGCACAGGAUACAUUGGAGGAGCUGGCCUGAACUGACUCAUCAUGGAGGAGCUCACAUCCUGAAACUCAUAGGCCUCCAUGUGCUGAGGUGAGGAAGAGCAGAUAGACUUUAUUAUACUGAAAGUGUACCGAUUAUUUAAACUGUUCAAUGUUUGAGCGGCCAGCAUUGAAAUAGUUUGUAAUGCCAUAAUCUGUGCCCAUAAAGCACUUUAGCUGCAUGUUUGUUUCCUGUUAAGAUUUUAAUUAAAAAAACGAGCACUUAUCAGUCCAAUAAUCUUAGCAAACAUACAUUGGUCAACCUCUUAAUACUUGCUUUCUGUUACAGAGAUGGAUCCUCUCCUACAGAGAACUGACUCAUAUUGCAGAGGCCUUGUCUGACAACGGGAUUGUUGAUCCUGAAACAUGGAGAGCAUUGAAAUAUGUAUUCAUGGAGAAGUAAUACAGACUCAGUCAUGCUGAUGGUCCUCACACACAGGCCCAACGCAACAAGGUCGCUACAAUGAACAAAGGCCUGAGGAAGGUAUGUUUGUUACGAUUAUUAUUCCUAUCAUUGAAGAAGUUUCCACUGAGGCAUGGACGAAUUCUGUUCCAGCUGCUCUGUGAUGGAUACAGUCAGACACCAUGCAAAAGCCUCGUCUCAUUUCUGCUAAAUGACUGGAUGAGUGCUCCCCUCGGCCUCAUCCAACUGUACAGGAAUGAGUACAAAGAUGCACAAAGUGAAGAUGCUGCUCUGGAAAAGAGUUCAUGUUCGUUUUUGUAUUGAUUCUCUUUUUCUUGUUUGCUAAAUUCUGCAGGACAACCAGCGGUGCUUCUGAAGCAGGAACAUGAGAUAAAUAACCAACUCCACCACUCAUGGUAAGAAUAUGAAAAGUCAAAAUAA
This is a long non-coding RNA of Morone saxatilis (striped sea-bass), 1866 nucleotides long. RefSeq lists it as uncharacterized. The record is from RefSeq and is a predicted model, not a curated record. The transcript is spliced from 2 exons. Lineage: Eukaryota; Metazoa; Chordata; Actinopteri; Moronidae.